GCUGUGUCAGUUCAAAUGACUUCCCAAACAGCCUCUGGAACGCCAACUGUAAAAGAUGGAUUUAUUUGCUCAGUCUCCUUCCUGAAGCAUGUAUCUUAGAUGGUGUAGCUCUCUGUAUCCGACAAAAUGGCGCAUAAUCAUCUGUGAAAAUUGGAGAGUGUGCUCCUCUUACUUAUAAAAAAAAUAGUGAACUGUAAAACAGCCUCAGGCAUGUCCUUCAGGAGGAUUCCAGAAUAAGGCAUUGUUAUCAUAGGAGAUGACAGUUCCAUGCAUGUUAUUGCCCCUGAAGACUUUCCAGUGGGACAAGAUGUGGAGAUGAAGACAGUGAUACUGAUGGUCCUGACCCUGUGUAGGCCUUGGGUCUGCAUGCUUCUCAAAUUGAGCUGUAACACUCACUGCUGCGGUCCAAGCCUUCAUUCUUUGAAGCCCGUGGAACCACAAACUCUUCAAUUGAUAAAAACCUUCGAUCGGAAGAGACUUCUCAUCUCAUUUCUGGGGGCCUGUCCGGGAUUUCUCUGAAGUGAAUAGAAUCCAUGAAACUGCAAGUGGUUCUACAAAUGGAGCCCCAAAUGACCACCACUAGCACCUACUAUCGAGGACCCCUAGACUGACCUACCAACCUGUUCUAACACCACGACACUGAAGAAGACUCCCCUCCUGAGGAACCCUCAACUGCAGAUCCCCUUCUGUGCCCCAGUUCAGCAGGAAGUAGCUAGAAUGAUCAUUGCCCAACUUCUCAACAGCACUUGGGCUUUCCUGUUGAGAGGGGGUACUGAGGCACUAAGUGGCUAAGUUAGCUAGACUUCCUGGGUCAACAGGGACUUCCCUAAGGGGACAUUCCUCUAAGCCAAAAUGAGUCAUAGCUGCAAGCUAAGGGAUUGAAACUUCAACCAAUCAAAGGGGACUUUCUCCUAAGCAAAAAUGAGUCACUGCUGCAAACUAAGUGAUUGAAACUUCACCCAAUCAUAUAGGGAGUUUAAGCUUUAGCUGCAGCCUGAUGUUUUUAACCAAUCAGGCCUGCCAACCCACAAGCAGAUAGAAAAUAAGCUAAUCCUAUGGGACAGAAAAAGGAAAAGGGGAGGAGUCAUAAGAGGAUAUAAGCAUAAGACACCCAAGCCAGAAACGGAAACCCUUCCGGGUCUCCUUCCACCACGUGGAAGCUUUACUUUUGCUUUUACUUUACUUUCACUUUAAUAAACCUUGGCGCUGCACACUCUUUGGGUCUGUACGUUUCUCUAAUUGAGCUGUAACACUCGCCGCUGUGGUCCACGGCUUCAUUCCUUGAAGCCUGUGAGACCACGAACCCUUCAAUUGAGAAAAACCUUCAAUCAGAAGAAGACUUCUUGUCUCAAUAUCACUUCCUUCGAAAACAUAAUUCAAG
This 1381-nucleotide long non-coding RNA is filed under the name Homo sapiens (human). RNAcentral describes it as "HSALNT0336489". The record is from RNAcentral. Lineage: Eukaryota; Metazoa; Chordata; Mammalia; Primates; Hominidae.